CAGAUGACAUCCUGCAGACUCAGGAUGGCACUCUGUGUGCGGCAGAAAUCGGCUCUGAACUCCAGAAACAGUUUGCCAUCCUACCAGGGGGCCGCGGGAUGAAUGGCAACCCCAUCAUCGUCUUACCAGAGUUCCCAGACUUCAGCGAGCUGGAGGAGGAGGAAGUCCAAAAUGUCCUCGGCUACCUCAGCAGCAUCCCCAGCGUUGCAGCAUCAGGAGUGGGUUUCAUCCUGGUUAUCGACAGGCGACUGGACCGAUGGGCUGCCGUCAGGACUACCCUGCUCCGCA
Molecule: long non-coding RNA, 288 nt
Organism: Notothenia coriiceps (black rockcod)
Lineage: Eukaryota; Metazoa; Chordata; Actinopteri; Perciformes; Nototheniidae
Exons: 3
Source: RefSeq, a predicted model, not a curated record